This 516-nucleotide ribosomal RNA is filed under the name uncultured bacterium. RNAcentral describes it as "bacterial SSU rRNA". It matches the Rfam family "Bacterial small subunit ribosomal RNA", at positions 791 to 1315 of the family's 1533-position model. The record is from RNAcentral.
UAGUCCACGCCGUAAACGAUGAUUACUCGCUGUAGGCGAUACACAGUCUGUGGCUAAGCGAAAGUUUUAAGUAAUCCACCUGGGGAGUACGAUCGCAAGAUUGAAACUCAAAGGAAUUGACGGGGGCCCGCACAAGCGGAGGAACAUGUGGUUUAAUUCGAUGAUACGCGAGGAACCUUACCUGGACUUAAAUGUACGUUGCAUAGAUUGGAGACAGUCUUUUCUUCGGACUACGUACAAGGUGCUGCAUGGUUGUCGUCAGCUCGUGCCGUGAGGUGUCGGGUUAAGUCCCAUAACGAGCGCAACCCCUAUCGUUAGUUGCCAGCAUUUAGUUGGGGACUCUAGCGAGACUGCCGGCGUAAGGUGUGAGGAAGGUGGGGAUGACGUCAAAUCAGCACGGCCCUUAUGUCCAGGGCUACACACGUGUUACAAUGGACGGUACAAAGGGCAGCUACCUGGCGACAGGAUGCUAAUCUCUAAAGCCGUUCUCAGUUCGGAUCGAAGUCUGCAACCCGA